GCAGCCUGAUGCAGCCAUGCCGCGUGUAUGAAGAAGGCCUUCGGGUUGUAAAGUACUUUCAGUCGUGAGGAAGGCGGCGUCGUUAAUAGCGGCGUUGUUUGACGUUAGCGACAGAAGAAGCACCGGCUAACUCCGUGCCAGCAGCCGCGGUAAUACGGAGGGUGCGAGCGUUAAUCGGAAUUACUGGGCGUAAAGCGCAUGCAGGUGGUUUGUUAAGUCAGAUGUGAAAGCCCGGGGCUCAACCUCGGAAUAGCAUUUGAAACUGGCAGACUAGAGUACUGUAGAGGGGGGUAGAAUUUCAGGUGUAGCGGUGAAAUGCGUAGAGAUCUGAAGGAAUACCGGUGGCGAAGGCGGCCCCCUGGACAGAUACUGACACUCAGAUGCGAAAGCGUGGGGAGCAAACAGGAUUAGAUACCCUGGUAGUCCACGCCGUAAACGAUGUCUACUUGGAGGUUGUGGCCUUGAGCCGUGGCUUUCGGAGCUAACGCGUUAAGUAGACCGCCUGGGGAGUACGGUCGCAAGAUUAAAACUUAA
Molecule: ribosomal RNA, 534 nt
Filed under: Vibrio alginolyticus
Lineage: Bacteria; Pseudomonadati; Pseudomonadota; Gammaproteobacteria; Vibrionales; Vibrionaceae
Description: bacterial SSU rRNA
Rfam family: Bacterial small subunit ribosomal RNA
Source: RNAcentral